GUUUAGUGGCGGACGGGUGAGUAACGCGUGAGUAACCUGCCUUUCACAGGGGGAUAACGUUUGGAAACGAACGCUAAUACCGCAUAACACAGCAGAGUCGCAUGGCUCAGCUGUCAAAGAUUUUAUCGGUGAAAGAUGGACUCGCGUCCGAUUAGGUAGUUGGUGAGGUAACGGCUCACCAAGCCGACGAUCGGUAGCCGGACUGAGAGGUUGAACGGCCACAUUGGGACUGAGACACGGCCCAGACUCC
RNAcentral lists this ribosomal RNA (250 nucleotides) under uncultured Eubacteriales bacterium. Its description in RNAcentral is "uncultured Clostridiales bacterium partial 16S ribosomal RNA". It matches the Rfam family "Bacterial small subunit ribosomal RNA", at positions 90 to 339 of the family's 1533-position model. The record is from RNAcentral. Lineage: Bacteria; Bacillati; Bacillota; Clostridia; Eubacteriales.